This is a long non-coding RNA of Juglans microcarpa x Juglans regia, 155 nucleotides long. RefSeq lists it as uncharacterized. NCBI's taxonomy places the organism in Eukaryota, Viridiplantae, Streptophyta, Magnoliopsida, Fagales, Juglandaceae. The transcript is spliced from 3 exons. The record is from RefSeq and is a predicted model, not a curated record.
UGUUCUCACGAUUGUUGAACCGUGUCUCUCAAAUCUCCUCUCUACAUACGUUUCCCAUGUUUGGUUUCAAAGAAAAUGAAGAAAAAUGCAGCCUAGGUCAGCCAACGAAGAACACGGUUGUUCUUCAUGGGAAAGAUCAAGUAUAUGUUAAAAAA